Molecule: small nucleolar RNA, 125 nt
Organism: Sorex araneus (European shrew)
Lineage: Eukaryota; Metazoa; Chordata; Mammalia; Eulipotyphla; Soricidae
Source: Ensembl
UUUGGUUGAAAAUCACCCAUAGCUUUGCCCAUGGCCAUGGGUGAGAUUCGGUGCCUAGAGCCAGUGAGGCCUCAGGUCACCUGCUCACUCUUGAUAUGGGGAGGUGAAACACAGGCUCAACAUGC